This 245-nucleotide ribosomal RNA is filed under the name uncultured bacterium. Its description in RNAcentral is "partial 16S ribosomal RNA". It matches the Rfam family "Bacterial small subunit ribosomal RNA", at positions 524 to 768 of the family's 1533-position model. The record is from RNAcentral.
UACGUAGGGGGCGAGCGUUGUCCGGAGUUACUGGGCGUAAAGGGCAUGCAGGCGGUGAGGCGCGUUUUGUGUGACAGCGCAUGGCUUAACUAUGCGAGGAUACGAAAGACGGCCCCACUUGAGAGCGCGAGAGGGACACGGAAUUCCGGGUGGAGUGGUGAAAUGCGUAGAGAUCCGGAGGAACACCGAAGGCGAAGGCAGUGUCCUGGCGCGUAUCUGACGCUCGUGUGCGAAAGCCAGGGGAG